Molecule: ribosomal RNA, 853 nt
Filed under: uncultured bacterium
Lineage: Bacteria
Description: bacterial SSU rRNA
Rfam family: Bacterial small subunit ribosomal RNA
Source: RNAcentral
CGAACGCUGGCGGCGUGCUUAACACAUGCAAGUCGAACGCGAAAUUUUUCUUCGGAAAGAGAGUAGAGUGGCGCACGGGUGAGUAACGCGUAAGUUAUCUACCUCGGCAUCUGGAAUAACUCACCGAAAGGUGUGCUAAUACCGGAUACGUUGAGUAAUCAAGAAAGGUGGCCUCUGAAUAUGCUACCGUGCUGAGAUGAGCUUGCGUACCAUUAGCUAGUUGGUAGGGUAAUGGCCUACCAAGGCGACGAUGGUUAGCGGGUCUGAGAGGAUGAUCCGCCACACUGGAACUGGAACACGGACCAGACUCCUACGGGAGGCAGCAGUGAGGAAUAUUGCGCAAUGGGGGCAACCCUGACGCAGCGACGCCGCGUGGAUGAUGAAGGCCUUCGGGUCGUAAAAUCCUGUCAGAUGGAAAGAAGUGUAUAGUGGUUAACACCUGCUAUGCUUGACGGUACCAUCGAAGGAAGCACCGGCUAACUCCGUGCCAGCAGCCGCGGUAAUACGGAGGGUGCAAGCGUUGUUCGGAAUUACUGGGCGUAAAGCGCGCGUAGGCGGUUUGCUAAGUCAGAUGUGAAAGCCCAUGGCUCAACCAUGGACGUGCAUUUGAAACUGGCAGACUUGAGUAUUGGAGGGGGUGGUGGAAUUCCCGGUGUAGAGGUGAAAUUCGUAGAUAUCGGGAGGAAUACCGGUGGCGAAGGCGACCACCUGGCCAAAUACUGACGCUGAGGUGCGAAAGCGUGGGGAGCAAACAGGAUUAGAUACCCUGGUAGUCCACGCCGUAAACGAUGUCAACUAGGUGUUGGGACGGUUAAUCGUCUCAUUGCCGCAGCUAACGCAUAAGUGACCCGCC